RNAcentral lists this ribosomal RNA (289 nucleotides) under uncultured Methanomicrobiales archaeon. Its description in RNAcentral is "partial 16S ribosomal RNA". It matches the Rfam family "Archaeal small subunit ribosomal RNA", at positions 1054 to 1338 of the family's 1478-position model. Lineage: Archaea; Methanobacteriati; Methanobacteriota; Methanomicrobia; Methanomicrobiales. The record is from RNAcentral.
ACGCCAACAGUUGCCAGGCUCGGUCCUCCCGGGGAUGGUGGGACACUGUUGGGACCGCCUCUGCUAAAGAGGAGGAAGGAAUGGGCAACGGUAGGUCAGCAUGCCCCGAAUUAUCUGGGCUACACGCGGGCUACAAUGGGUGGGACAAUGGGUAUCGACACCGAAAGGUGAAGGCAAUCUCCUAAACCCAUCCGUAGUUCGGAUUGUGGGCUGCAACUCGCCCACAUGAAGCUGGAAUCUGUAGUAAUCGUGUCUCAAAAAUGGCACGGUGAAUAUGUCCCUGCUCCUU